CAGCCUACGGGGGGCAGCAGUGGGGGGUAUUGCACAAUGGGGGAAACCCUGAUGCAGCGACGCCGCGUGAGCGAUGAAGUAUUUCGGUAUGUAAAGCUCUAUAAGCAGGGAAGAAAAUGAAGGUACCUGACUAAGAAGCCCUGGCUAACUACGUGCCAGCCGCCGCGGUAAUACGUAGGGGGCAAGCGUUAUCCGGAUUUACUGGGUGUAAAGGGAGCGUAGACGGUCCUGCAAGCCAGAUGUGAAAGCCCGGGGCUCAACCCCGGGACUGCCUUUGG
RNAcentral lists this ribosomal RNA (278 nucleotides) under uncultured bacterium. Its description in RNAcentral is "partial 16S ribosomal RNA". It matches the Rfam family "Bacterial small subunit ribosomal RNA", at positions 332 to 630 of the family's 1533-position model. The record is from RNAcentral.